This 736-nucleotide ribosomal RNA is filed under the name uncultured microorganism. RNAcentral describes it as "SSU rRNA". It matches the Rfam family "Bacterial small subunit ribosomal RNA", at positions 63 to 837 of the family's 1533-position model. The record is from RNAcentral.
CGUACGAGAGUUUUUAAUUCAAGUGGCGGACGGGUGAGUAACACGUAAGAAUUUGCCUUUAGGAGGGGGACAACAAUUGGAAACGAUUGCUAAUACCCCAUAUGCUUUCGAGUGAAAUGGAUUUUUUCUGCCUGAAGAGAAGCUUGCGGCUGAUUAGCUUGUUGGUAGGGUAAUGGCCUACCAAGGCGACGAUCAGUAUCUGGUUUGAGAGGACGAUCAGACACACUGGAACUGAGACACGGUCCAGACUCCUACGGGAGGCAGCAGUAGGGAAUUUUCCGCAAUGGGCGAAAGCCUGACGGAGCAAUACCGCGUGAGGGAUGACUGCCCAUGGGUUGUAAACCUCUUUUUUCAGGGAGGAAUAAAUGACGUGUACCUGAAGAAUAAGCAUCGGCUAACUCCGUGCCAGCAGCCGCGGUAAGACGGAGGAUGCAAGUGUUAUCCGGAAUCACUGGGCGUAAAGCGUCUGUAGGUGGUCGAAUAAGUCUACUGUUAAAUCUUAAGGCUCAACCUUAAAAUCGCAGUGGAAACUAUUCGACUAGAGUAUAGUAGAGGUAAAGGGAAUUUCCAGUGGAGCGGUGAAAUGCGUAGAGAUUGGAAAGAACACCGAUGGCGAAGGCACUUUACUGGGCUAUUACUGACACUCAGAGACGAAAGCUAGGGUAGCAAAUGGGAUUAGAUACCCCAGUAGUCCUAGCCGUAAACGAUGGAUACUAGGUGUUGAACAGAUCGAACU